RNAcentral lists this ribosomal RNA (468 nucleotides) under uncultured bacterium. RNAcentral describes it as "partial 16S ribosomal RNA". It matches the Rfam family "Bacterial small subunit ribosomal RNA", at positions 28 to 507 of the family's 1533-position model. The record is from RNAcentral.
GACGAACGCUGGCGGCGUGCUUAACACAUGCAAGUCGAACGGAAAGGCCCUGCUUUUGUGGGGUGCUCGAGUGGCGAACGGGUGAGUAACACGUGAGUAACCUGCCCUUGACUUUGGGAUAACUUCAGGAAACUGGGGCUAAUACCGGAUAGGAGCUCCUGCUGCAUGGUGGGGGUUGGAAAGUUUCGGCGGUUGGGGAUGGACUCGCGGCUUAUCAGCUUGUUGGUGGGGUAGUGGCUUACCAAGGCUUUGACGGGUAGCCGGCCUGAGAGGGUGACCGGCCACAUUGGGACUGAGAUACGGCCCAGACUCCUACGGGAGGCAGCAGGGGGGAAUAUUGCACAAUGGGCGGAAGCCUGAUGCAGCAACGCCGCGUGCGGGAUGAAGGCCUUCGGGUUGUAAACCGCUUUCGCCUGUGACGAAGCGUGAGUGACGGUAAUGGGUAAAGAAGCACCGGCUAACUACGUG